UCUCAAAGUGCUGAGCCUACUUUGGGGCUGCUUCCUUGUGGGGGUAAUUAAACUUUGGAACAUUAAGACACAGGCUGGAGGAGAUAUUGGAUAGACGGUUAUUUCUCUAUAAAUUUCCCUCCCAUUCUACAAAA
This is a small nucleolar RNA of Sorex araneus (European shrew), 134 nucleotides long. NCBI's taxonomy places the organism in Eukaryota, Metazoa, Chordata, Mammalia, Eulipotyphla, Soricidae. The record is from Ensembl.